GUGCUCGCUUCAGCAGCACAUAUACUAAAAUUGCAACGAUUAGCAUGGCGCCUGUGCAAGGAUGAUACACAAAUUCGUGACACAUUCCAUAUUUUU
Molecule: small nuclear RNA, 96 nt
Filed under: Mustela putorius furo (domestic ferret)
Lineage: Eukaryota; Metazoa; Chordata; Mammalia; Carnivora; Mustelidae
Source: RNAcentral